CCUCUGUUUAGGGAGGACCGGAUUUCAUUUACAAAAAAGGGCAACAGUUUCAGUUUCAUUUCUCCAGAUUCAUUUCUUUGAGAUUUCCUCCCUUUAUCUGACCUGCUCUCCUUCAGCUUUAGUUUCAUUCAACUUCGUUUUGCUGUAAGAAGGAGAACUGAAUAAGAUUGAUCUUUGCCAGUGACUUGCCGGUGUUUGAGAAGAAACAUCCCGCAGAAAAUGGACCUGGAGGAAAACACUAAUGACUUGACUAUCCUGGUCCACAACCAGAGUUAUGAUGAUGUCACGGUUGCAGUCAGUGCCAGGCCAAUAUACAAACUGCUGGAUGGCAACGUGGUGUUCUUCUGGUUGCAAUGGCUUUGGUCCAGCAUUGCCACCACAGACGUUGGCCCAAAAGCUACAAAGAAAGUAAAUACAGUGACCAGCUGGAAUAUGAUCACUCACCAGUUGGGAAGCUGGGGGUGGAGACUUUAUAACAUAACUGUGCGAAGGAAGGCGGAUGGAUACGUUGCUACAUGUACAACUCCACUGCAUUGCACUUGGAUAGUUGAAGAAAGGGGAAUACACCAAAAAGAUGCUGCUGAAAACUACUACUGCAAAUUUGAACCACCUGCCAACAGUCAACAGAUCAGCCAAUCAGAUACUAUACAGAUCAGUAUAGUAUAACCAACAAAGACCAUCACAACAUAUUGGGCAUCACAACCUUCUACAAGAAUAAAAGUUACCAACAUCUGUAUUGGCUCAGUUCACUAAAUCAUUCCAUAAAUUCAGAUGAGAGUGUGGUGGUGUUCUUUCGCUGUCUUCUAUUUUCACGUAAUUAAGAAACGGUUGGCCAGCCAGGUGUUGUAAAAGGAAAGGGAUUUGGCUUGCCUUUAGCAGCUCUAACUUGAGGAGUCGAUUUUUCUGCUAAUGCAAUUGACCAGACUCUUGCAUACCAUGUGUACGAAGGAAACUUAAAUACUAAACAUCAACACAAAUUGGUCAAACGAAACUGAUUGUCUUGCUUGCUUUGCGUUUUGUUUUGUUUUUUUUAAAUCUUGGAGUAUAGCAAUAAUUGUACCAAAUUAUUUAACCAUAACCUCUUCAUCAUAUUGACAGCUGCCAUCAACUUUUUUUUCCUCUUCUCUCUGCUCUUUGGGUCCCCCAGCUUUAUUACCCAAUACACUAAUCUUGAAGCCAUCUUAUUGCAUUUAUUUAUGGCUCUGGAAAAGGGCACAUCCAGAUGUUUUGGACUACAAUUUUAAUCAUCCCCAGCCAGCCCAGCCAUGGAGGAAAAAAUGUUUACAAAUCCUGCAUUAAUUCCUGACUUUGUCAAUAAGAUCCCCCCUCUCAUAGUUCUGCCCUGGGUGAACACACUGUGCUGUUAACCGUAGAAGCAUGUAAAGGAGCCCAUGUGCUGUGCUAGAGUACUGUAUUGGAUCGGAAAGAGAUAGAGGUGAAUUUGAAUCUCAGCUCAGCAAUGAAGAUAGCUCGGGGUAGGACUUUUAGUAAGGUUGUCUCUGCUCUGUGGAACAGCAUUCCUGCCAAGAUAUGACAGACACCCACUAUCUGCACUUUCUGGAAAUAAUUGAAGACAUUUUGGUUCCAGCAAACUGUCCCAGCUGGAUUAAUAGGUCUCUUCCAUGGAUGUCUACAUAGCAUUCUUUUAAAACUGACCUGCUGUUAUUUUCUGUACUGUUUUUAAACUGAUCUUUAGCUGUUUUAUUGCAUUUUGUGCUUGCCUAGAGAUGUAUUUGCAGAAGGCAAUAAACAAAUUAAUAAUCAUAUCAUAGGGAGACGCUGAGCAAGUUAGAUGCCCGCAGCUGAAUUUACCCCAUUGUGUUGUUCAGAUAACCUUAGUAUGCAUUCCCUUCUCUGUCUAUGAGAU
Zootoca vivipara (common lizard) is the source of this 1867-nucleotide long non-coding RNA. RefSeq lists it as uncharacterized. The record is from RefSeq and is a predicted model, not a curated record. NCBI's taxonomy places the organism in Eukaryota, Metazoa, Chordata, Lepidosauria, Squamata, Lacertidae.